AGUGAACGCUGGCGGUAGGCCUAACACAUGCAAGUCGAACGGCAGCACAGUAAGAGCUUGCUCUUACGGGUGGCGAGUGGCGGACGGGUGAGGAAUACAUCGGAAUCUACUUUUUCGUGGGGGAUAACGUAGGGAAACUUACGCUAAUACCGCAUACGACCUACGGGUGAAAGCAGGGGAUCUUCGGACCUUGCGCGAUUGAAUGAGCCGAUGUCGGAUUAGCUAGUUGGCGGGGUAAAGGCCCACCAAGGCGACGAUCCGUAGCUGGUCUGAGAGGAUGAUCAGCCACACUGGAACUGAGACACGGUCCAGACUCCUACGGGAGGCAGCAGUGGGGAAUAUUGGACAAUGGGCGCAAGCUUGAUCCAGCCACACCGCGUGGGUGAAGAAGGCCUUCGGGUUGUAAAGCCCUUUUGUUGGGAAAGAAAAGCAGCAGGUUAAUACCCCGCUGUUCUGACGGUACCCAAAGAAUAAGCACCGGCUAACUUCGUG
This 492-nucleotide ribosomal RNA is filed under the name uncultured bacterium. Its description in RNAcentral is "partial 16S ribosomal RNA". It matches the Rfam family "Bacterial small subunit ribosomal RNA", at positions 29 to 507 of the family's 1533-position model. The record is from RNAcentral.